This is an RNA transcript of Ahaetulla prasina, 4113 nucleotides long. It is a transcript of the gene named zinc finger protein ZFP2-like, with no coding region annotated. The transcript is spliced from 3 exons. The record is from RefSeq and is a predicted model, not a curated record. Lineage: Eukaryota; Metazoa; Chordata; Lepidosauria; Squamata; Colubridae.
AUGGGAGGAAGUUGCUGUGCAGAGUGGCUCCUGUAGUCUUCCCAGGGUCGAAGCAGCAGCUGGCAGACAAAGAGGAUGGCAAUAAGAACACUCGGGACAACUGUAAAUAACAAACACUGUUAAAAAGGGAAGAAAAUCAAGCCAGAAAUCAAAUAUUUUCCAUUUCCUUCAGAAAACUACACAAUUCUCCUCUUUCAACAGUUGUUAGACAAAAGAGAGAAAAUCAAGAAAGAAUAAACAGAUUAUGCAGAACUGAAGGAUACAUUACAUGAAAAGUGAAGGGAGAUUAUUUAUCCUUCAGCAAAAGAGGGAAAUAUCUGGAGGUCAGUGAGGAGGAAAAGGUCAAUAGUAAAGUCACAUAGAGCAUACAGUAAUUCAGGCCUCUCCCUGUGAGGAAGAAAACGGCUUGAAUGAAAGCACCACUAAACAAGGCAUUGUCCAUAUUUUAUCUCUUCAAGAAUAUCAUCUGUGGAAAAGCUCCAUAGAUUUGUCUAUUGUGGGACAAGCACAGAUUGCAAAUCACAGCUGAUUAUGCACAAGAGGAGCCAGAGAGGAGAAAAACCAUACAAAUUACCUGAUUGUGGCAAAAGCUUUGGUCACAACAGCUCCCUUGUGGUUCAUGGAAGCACCCAGACACAAGAGGGAAGCCACAAAAGUGCUCCCAAUGUAGUAAAUGCUUUAGUGAGCACGGCAACAUGGUGCUACAUCAGAUAACUCACAGGAGGAAGAAAACGUAUGACUGUGCAGAUUGUUUGAAAGUUUCAUUAGAAAUUCCCAGGUCAUGAGAUACUAAAGGACGCGCACACAGGAAUAAAAACCAUUUGAACAUCCUUUCUGUGGGAAAAGUUUCAGUGAGAAUUCCAUCCUGGUGAAGCACCAGAGAACUCACACAGAAGAGAAAACCUUUGAAUGUCCUGAUUAUGGGAAAGUCACAAUUCCAGCCUGGUGAUACACCAGAAGACUCACAAAGGAGAGAAAUGUUUUGAAUGUCCUGAUUGUUGGAAAACUUUCAGUUAUAAUUCCAACUUGGUGAUAGACCAGAGGAAUCAUAAAGGAGAAAAACCCAUUCAAUAUACUGACUGUGGGAGAAGUUCCAGUUCGUAAUUCCCAUCUGCCAAUACAUCAGAGGAUUCAAUCCAUGGAGAAAUCUUAUGAAUGUCGAGAUUGUGGGAAAGCUUUCAUUACAAAUUCGCACCUCCUGAGACACAAGACCAUGCACACAGGAGAGAAACCAUUUGAAUGCCCUAUCUGUGGGAAAGGUUAUAGUGAUAAUUCCCACCUGGUGGCACACCAGAGGACUCACACAGGAGAGAAACCCUUUGAAUGUCCUGAUUGUGGGAAAAGUUUCAGUCAGAAUUCCAACCUGGUGAGACACCAGAGGAGUCACACAGGAGAGAAACCCUUUGAAUGUCCUAUCUGUGAGAAAGGUUUUAAUGAUAAUUCCCACCUGGUGAUACACCAGAGGACUCAUACAGGAGAGAAACCCUUUGAAUGUCCUGAUUGUGGGAAAGGUUUUAGAGAUAAUUUCCACCUGGUGAGACAUCAGAGGAGUCACACAGGAGAGAAACCCUUUGAAUGUCCUGAUUGUGGGAAAGGUUUUAGAGAUAAUUUCCACCUGGUGAGACAUCAGAGGAGUCACACAGGAGAGAAACCCUUUGAAUGUCCUGAUUGUGGGAAAGGUUUUAGUGAUAAUUCCAGCCUGGUGAUACACCAAAGGACUCACACAGGAGAGAAGCCCUUUGAAUGUCCUGAUUGUGGGAAAGGUUUUAGUGAUAAUUACAGCCUGGUGAGACACCAGAGGACUCACACAGGAGAGAAACCCUUUGAAUGUCCUGAUUGUGGAAAAGGUUUUAUUGAUAAUUCCAGCCUGGUGAGACACCAGAGGACUCACACAGGAGAGAAACCCUUUGAAUGUCCUAUCUGUGGGAAAGGUUUUAGUGAUAAUUUCAGCCUUGUUCAACACCAGAGUACUCACACAGGAGAGAAACCCUUUGAAUGUCCUGAUUGUGGGAAAGGUUUUAGAGAUAAUUCCAGCCUGGUGAGACAUCAGAGGAAUCACACAGGAGAGAAACCCUUUGAAUGUCCUAUCUGUGAGAAAGGUUUUAAUGAUAAUUCCAACCUGGUGAGACACCAGAGGACUCACACAGGAGAGAAACCCUUUGAAUGUCUUGACUGUGGAAAAUGUUACAGUCAGAAUUCCCACCUGGUUACACACCAGAGGACUCACAGACGAGAGAAAACCUUGAAUGUCCUAUCUUUAGGAAAAGUUUCAGUCAGAAUUCCUACCUAAUGAUACACCAGAGAUUUUACACUGUGGAGAAAUGUUUGAAAUGUCCAGUCUGUGGACGUUACUUCAAGCAUAAAUCAUCCCUUAUUGCACACAAGGUAAUCCAUAUGAGGAAUAGUAGAUGAGUUUACAGAAUGCUUGAAUUUCAUUUGUGAUCUCCCAUUGAAAGUAUAGGUGAGAAAUUGUUUGAAUUUUGGCCUGAUUCAUUUUACUCAAACGUUUCUCAGGAUUAAAUGUGUAGGUGGAGAGAAAAGGAAAAUGGAAAUGGCUAAUUUUCAGUGGGCCCUGGAUUCAUCCCUGUUGUGAACUGUGGUAAUGGCACAAGGCACCACACGGCAUCCUGCCGCAAGCAUAAGAUACACAGAUAUGACUCACAUUCUUCUCUGCCUUCUCAGAAUGGAAGCAAGAGUGAAAGAAAAUGCAGUCUAGUGGAAAUGGUUGGAGUGCAUUAGAGGAGUUUAGCCAAAAGGAAAAAGAUAGCUGAUGGUAGCUUUUUAAAACAUUAUUUCCUCCAAAAAAAAAAAAAUCCUCCAGAAGUUAAAAGUGUUUUAAUCAGCUGAGAAACUGCUUGACAAGCUGCUUGACAAGCUACACAGUGUUUGCCGCAAGCGGCUGCAGAAGAAGUCAGGCGGUGGUGCAACAGGUGUCCGAGUGUGGGUGGCCUCCCUGCAAUGGUCCUAAGAUAAGCGGACAAAGAGGAUGGCAAUAAGAACACUCGGGACAACUGUAAAUAACAAACACUGUUGAAAAGGGAAGAAAAUCAAGCCAGAAAUCAAAUAUUUUCCAUUUCCUUCAGAAAACUACACAAUUCUCCUCUUCCAACAGCUGUUAGACAAAAGAGAGAAAAUGAAGAAAGAAUAAACAGAUUAUGCAGAACUGAAGGAUACAUUACAUGGAAAGUGAAGGGAGAUUAUUUAUCCUUCAGCAAAAGAGGGAAAUAUCUGGAGGUCAGUGGGGAAGAAAAGGUCAAUAGUAAAGUCACAUAGAGCAUACAGUAAUUCAAGCCUCUCCCUGUGAGGAAGAAAACGGCUUGAAUGAAAGCACCACUAAACAAGGCAUUGUCCAUAUUUUAUCUCCUCAAGAAUAUCAUCUGUGGAAAAGCUCCAUAGAUUUGUCUAUUGUGGGACAAGCACAGAUUGCUGAUGAUGCACAAGAGGAGCCAGAGAGGAGAAAAACCAUACAAAUUACCUGAUUGUGGCAAAAGCUUUGGUCACAAUAGCUUCCUUGUGGUUCAUGGAAGCACCCAGACACAAGAGGGAAGCCACAAAAGUGCUCCCAAUGUAGUAAAUGCUUUAAUGAGCAUGGCAACAUGGUGCUACAUCAGAUAACUCGCAGGAGGAAGAAAACGUAUGACUGUGCAGAUUGUUUGAAAGUUUCAUUAGAAAUUCCCAGGUCAUGAGACACUAAAGGACGCGCACACAGGAAUAAAAACCAUUUGAACAUCCUUUCUGUGGGAAAAGUUUCAGUGAGAAUUCCAUCCUGGUGAAGCACCAGAGAACUCACACGGAAGAGAAAACCUUUGAAUGUCCUGAUUAUGGGAAAGUCACAAUUCCAGCCUGGUGAUACACCAGAAGACUCACAUAGGACAGAAAUGUUUUGAAUGUCCUGAUUGUUGGAAAACAUUCAGUUAUAAUUCCAACUUGGUGAUAGACCAGAGGAAUCAUAAAGGAGAAAAACCCAUUCAAUAUACUGACUGUGGGAGAAGUUUCAGUUCGUAAUUCCCACCUGCCAAUACAUCAGAGGAUUCAUUCAAUGGAGAAAUCUUAUGAAUGUUGAGAUUGUGGGAAAGCUUUCAUUAGAAAUUCGCACCUCCUGAGACACAAGAC